Molecule: ribosomal RNA, 449 nt
Filed under: uncultured bacterium
Lineage: Bacteria
Description: partial 16S ribosomal RNA
Rfam family: Bacterial small subunit ribosomal RNA
Source: RNAcentral
AAUGAACGCUAGCGGUAGGCCUAACACAUGCAAGUUGAACGCAUACUUUUACAGUAUAAGUAGCAAACGGGUGAGUAACGCGUGAGAAAUCUACCUUACAAUCUGGGAUAAAAUCCCGGAUUCUUUCUAAACUAGAUGUUCCGACAAAUAGUAUAGAAUAAAAGAUUAAAUGUCGUUGUAAGAUGUGCUCGCGUAGGAUUAGGUAGUUGGUGAGGUAAAAGCUACACCAAGCCGAAGAUCCUUAGCUGGUCUGAGAGGAUGAUCAGCCACACUGGGACUGAGACACGGCCCAGACGCUUUCGAGCGGCAGCAGUGAGGAAUUUUGGACAAUGGGCGAAAGCCUGAUCCAGCCAUAUCGCAUGAGUGAAGAAGGCUAAAUUGGUUGUAAAGCUCUGAUUUGAUUGAAGAUUAUGACAUAAGAUAAAAGAAUAGUCCCGGCUAACUUCGUG